UGAUUUGAUCCAUCAUAUACCAUAUCAAUUGCUGAGGGAGAUUCACGUAUAAGGUCUAAGCGUGCAAAUAAAUCCUUACCACUUCUAGAUAUCUCCGAGACCCAUGUUCUCUCUGAAACCCUAUGUCCUCUUCUUCUUCUUCUUCUUCAAUUGACUCUCCAUUUCACUUAUUUAUCUGAUUAAUUGAGUGAAAAUUAGAGGUUUUAUUCUCUACAUCACCCCUCAAUUUGGGGGUAAGUUACCCCCAACUUGCGUAGAAUUGAACCGUGGGAAGGUCCCAAAAGAUAUUUGUUGAAAAAUUCGGCUAGCUAAAUGGAGGAAGGACGAAAAAAAGGAUAAUGAGACCGGAGAGGUACUACUGACGGACAAAGUGGUAGCCAUGUUCGACAUGUUUAGUUCAUUCAUGAAAAAUAGAAUUCAGGAAAAUAUUGAUGACUGCUUUACUAUCGGAGAGAUCGGGGACUAGUAAGAAGAGAGAGAUGGAGAGAUCUUCAAGUAAAUGGGUGAGUCAAGUUAAUUCCGCGACAACUCGAUGCAUUGAACGGUACUCUGAUUUAGAAUAUGAGAGACUGAUGGAGUCUGCUUCUUAGAUUUCCAAGAAAUGGGAGAGCCACCAAGGGAGAUAUAAAAUCCGCUCACAGAACGUUGAGUUUCUAUGAAAGAGCCCCAGUCAGCAUCACAAAAAGCAACUAAAUUGAAAGAUGGUUAAUAGUUCAAGACAAUUCCCUGCCUUGGAUCUAAUCUACGAUAACACAAUACUCAAAGAGCUGCAUUGAAGUGAGAAAGGUAAGGACUUUGCAUGUAUUGACUGAGCUUGAGGACUACGCCAAAUUAGGCCGUGUAUGUGUGAGGUAAUUCAACUUAUCCACAAGAUGUCGAAAUACAGUUGGAUUUGGAAUAAGAGGGCCUACAUUUGAAUGAAGCUUUGAAUAUGGCUCUAAUGAGGAAGACACAGGAGGAGUUGCUGCAACAUCAAAUUUCUCCAGCAAAUCAAAGGUGAAUUUUCUUUGACACACAAUUGUGCCUUCUUUCUCUCGUAAUAUCUCCAUGCCUAGAAAAUAAUAGAUUUUCUAGGUCUUUCACUUUGAAUUCUGUGUGCAAAAAUGAUUAAGGCACCAACAAGUGGGUCAUAUCAUUGUCGGAAAACUUAUUUAAGGUCAUACAAAGACUUUUUGAAAAGGCACACAUGAUUAGAACUAGGAGGAGAUAGCCCUGCUGGAAACCUCAUGUAAACUUCUUCUUGUAAAUCCCCGUGUGGGAAAGGAUUAAUGACAUCUAGUUGAUAAAUAGGACAAUCGUUCUUGGUAGCUACUGCUAGUAAACAUCUUAUAGUAGUUAUUUUGACUAUGAAUAAAAAUAUUUCUGUGUAGUCAAUACCCUGUCCCUGUGUAUCCCCCUCAGCACCAACCUUGCUUUUAAUCUUUAUAUAGUUCCAUCGGUAUUAUGCUUUACUUUAUUCACUCAUUUACAAGGUAAAUACUUUUUGGUUAUUGUUAAUGGAACCACAUCCCAAUUGUGAUUCCUUUCCAAAGCUUCAAUUUUUGAAAGCAUAGUUUGUUUCCAUCCUAGGUGUGCAAAAAGCUUGGGAAAACUGUUAGGUUCUGAAAUUUCUGAGAUGGAUUGCAUAAUAUAUUGAUUUUGAUGAGAUAAAGCUCCAAAUGAAUAGAUAGUAGGGUGACUAGGUUGAGCAAAGCAUGAGGAGGUGAGAUCACACCGUUGCAAAUGUAAUCAUUUAGGUGUGUGGUCCAUUUAGAGACCCUAUGGGAUUUUCUGAUUACUGGUUAUAGUGUGUUGGAAUGAGCAGAACUGGAAUGUCCUUGUAUUAGAGAUGGAGAAAAGGAAGGUAUAGUGAAGUGAGAGGGAGAAAAGGAGGGCGAAAAAGGUGAAUAUGAAUCUAGUGCAAUAGGAAGAACAUGUUCAGUAGGUUGGUGGGUUGGUGAGGGAUCAGUAGGGAUAGAUUCUACAACAUAGGAUAAGGAAAUAUCGCGUUGGAGUUGAAUUGAAUGAGGAAAAAAGAUACUUGUCUUCAUGUAAAACUAAAUCUUUGGAGACAAGUACCUUCCUAAUAUCUAGUUCCAAUACUUCGUAUCCUUUCUGCCCCAAAGAAUAUCUCAAGAACACACAAGCUUUUGCCCUAGGCUCAAACUUGUUUCUCCUACUAGACAAUGCGGACACAUAACAAAGACAUCCAAAACGUUUAAGAGCUUGUAAGCAGACAACUUAUUGAAUAGAAUAGAGUAGGGUGUCUGUCCUUUCAAAACAUUAGAAGGCAACCUAUUGAUUAAGUAUGUGGUAGUCAACAAACACUCUCCCCAAUAGGAGAUAGGAACUUGUGAUUGAAAUAAUAGAGCCCUUGCUAUUUACAGUAGAUGUUUGUUUUUCCUCUCAAUAAUGCCAUUUUGUUGAGGGGUCCCCACACAACUUAGCUGAUGGAUAAUGCCUUGAGAACUCAGAAAUGUUGUGAGUUUUUUCCUAGUUCAUAUGCAGUGUCAGUGCUUAACUUCUGCACUUGGAACCCAAACUGUCUUUCUAUCAUGAUUAAAAAAUUCUUUAAAACUGCAAAUGCAUUUCCCUUAGUACUUAGCAAAAAAGUCUAGGUACCUCUGCUAAAGUCAUCCACUAUUGUUAAAAAGUAUUUGAAGUCAUUGUAAGUAGGUACCUUAUAAGGGCCCCAAGUAUCAACAUGAAUCAACUCAAAUGCUCUUUUGGAUGUUAUUUUACUCAAAGGAAAAGAGAGUCCAGUUUUCCUAGCUCUAGACACGCAUCCCAAAAAUAAUCACAAUUUGAAGAGAUUGAAAUAAAAUUAAACUAUUUCAUUACAUGAAAAGGAAAAUUCCGCAAUCUAUUGUGCCAGAGAUUUACAUUAGAGACUGCACUUGCAGAAAAGGGAAAGGAAAUUGAAACUUGACUAACAUCAUUUUGAUUAGAAAAGGAAACUACAUUAGGUUAUGAACUAUAUCUGACUCUACUAGGCUCCAUGGAAAGGCAAAUGACUUAAUCUAUUAUGCCAACGAUUUACAUUAGAGACUGCACUUGCAAAAAAAAGGGAAAGGAAACUGAAACUUGACUAACAUCAUUUUGAUUAGAAAAGGAAACUAUAAUAGGUUGUGAACUAUAUCUAACUCCACUAGGCUCCAAUAGAUAUCAUCCUAUUUUAGCUUUACCUAAAUCUUGAAGCCUCUUCAUUAAAAGGGCCUGCAACUGACAUUGACUAGAUGUGAGUGAAAUAAUACAAUGUAAUUGUAGACAAAACCUAUUGACAGAUAGUAGUCAUGAGCUACUACAGAGUACAUUUGAUAUAGCCCGACAUCGAGAUGUCACUAGUCAUGAGCUACUACAAAGUACACUAAAGUACCACAAGUCCGGAGAUAGGAACAAACUCUAAAAAUAUUGUGAACAACAUAAUAUAAGGGAGAAGAUCCGGUGCUGCGGACGCUAGCAGUCACCUGGCCCAGCUACGAUAAUAAAUCUUCAAUCCGCUAAUGACCCGCUACCGGGCGAACAAUACCUGCAACUGCACUCGAGGUGCAGGGAGUAAACUGAGUACUCCAACUCCGUAAAUAAUAAAAAUAAAUAAUAGCUGAAAGCAAGAAAUCAUGUAAGGCACUUCAUCAUGCUGUAUAGAACAAUGCAACCCUUUUUAGAAAACAGUAAAAACCGUGAAAUCCUUUGGAAAACAUCUGGGCUCAGUUAAAAAACAUCUUUUGAAAUUGAUCUUUUCAACAGUUGCAAAAAAAUAAUUUCAGAAUAAAUUGUGACUCUAUGCACCGAAAUCCACCCCUCGAGCAAUAUCUUCAUUCCUGGUCAGCCACUUCGUUCCUGGUCAGCCACUCGGGCCCCAACACUCAAGGAUCAGAUAGCAGCAGCAAAAGCAGAUAAAUAUCUCCAGAAAUAUCACAAACAACAAAUAAUGAACAAAUACAUGAAUACAAUGCAAUGCAUAUGAUGGUACAUUUCAGUACCCACUGUGGCGCGCAGUCUGAUCCAUUUAACGUUGACGACGCUCUUUGGGGGUAUGUACAAACUCUGGAGAGGUUUCUACAGCCCAAGCGUAAUGUUACUGUGGCGUGCAGCCCGAUCCAAUAUAUAUAUAUAUAUAUAAAUAUAUAUCUUUUGAAAUUGAUCUUUUCAACAGUUGCAAAAAAAUAAUUUCAGAAUAAAUUGUGACUCUAUGCACCGAAAUCCACCCCUCGAGCAAUAUCUUCAUUCCUGGUCAGCCACUUCGUUCCUGGUCAGCCACUCGGGCCCCAACACUCAAGGAUCAGAUAGCAGCAGCAAAAGCAGAUAAAUAUCUCCAGAAAUAUCACAAACAACAAAUAAUGAACAAAUACAUGAAUGCAAUGCAUACGAUGGUACAUUCUAGUACCCACUACGACGCAGUUGGAUUCAUUUAACAUCCACAACGCUCACUGGGGUGUGUACAAACUCCGGAGGGGCUCCUACAGCCCAAGCGCAAUGUUAUUGCAGCGUGUAGUCCGAUCCAAUAUAUAUACACUGCUGCGGCGCGCGGCCCGAUCCAUGCUCAUAUACACUGCUGCAACGCGCAACCCGAUCCAUGCUCAUCUCAAUAUGAUACUGCUAUGGGGUGCAAUCCGAUCCAUGCAUAGUCCAGAAAUUAUCAUAAGCCCCAUGGGCAUUUAUAAAACAGUAGUUCUCAGCCCGGAAUAACAUUUAAAAUAUCAUUUGAGUUUCAAAACUUAGAAAAUAUGGCUGAGUUUACAAAACAAUGUUUAAAAGCUGUGGACUGAGUCGAAUGAUAUGCAAGCGUAUGCAGAACAAUAAAAUCAAUCCCCGAAGGAUUCUACAAGUCGGCACGAGCCCAAAUAAUAUCAGUACAGUAUUAUGUAUCAAUCACUAAUAUAGUGUUAAUGUCACUUCGGAUGGACCAAAUCAUAAUCCCCAAUGGUUCUCUACCCCACGCUCAUAGUCGGCGUGCAAUUCACCUCAAUGCAACAAUUUGAUGUGCGAAUCCGGGGUUUCAAACCCUCAGGGUAUCAUUUACAAGUAUUACUCACCUUGAACUGGUGAACUCUCUAGCCCGCGACGCCUUUGCGCCUCACACCGGCCUCCAUGUGCGUCGAAUCUAAUGAAAAGCACAAUGAAUACGUUACAAUAGGCUAAUAGAACACAACCCAAUCGAAAAGACUCGAAAAACGCUAAAAAUUACGAAGUUGGCAAAACCCGAGCCCCGGGCUCAUUUCUCAAAAAAUUACAAAAUACAUCAUCGGACUCCUCGUCUCGCCACGAGUCUAUACAUAUCAAAUUUAUCAAAAUCGGGGUUCAAUUGCCCUCUUAAAACCCAAAUUUGCAUUUCAAAAACCAAGCCCUAGUUCUUCAAAUGUUUCACCCAAUUUUCCAAGAAUUAAAGGUUGAUUCUUCCAUAAAAUGAUGUUUCUAAGUCACCAGGCUCACCUCCAAUCAAUUCCGUUGAAACCCUCUUCAAUAUCUACCAAAAAGCUCUCAAGGUGGUUCAAGAAUGGAGGAAAUAUCAAAUGGGUCGCGGAUAAAAUAACCUUAAUAGCAUUCUGCCAUGGUAUGUAUUUACCCUAUGCGAACGCGGUCGAGACCCUCGCGUUCGCGAUGACCAGAAGGCAGUGACCAACUUUAACUCUUCCCGAACGCGGCUCCCCGCACGCUAACGUGAACCUUCAGGAGCCCCCACUACGCGAACACGUCUCCCUCCACGCGAACGCGAUGCACCAGACCAAGGACCACCCAAAAUGCCCCUAUGCAAACACGACCAUAACACGCGUACGUGAAGGUUCAAGGACCUUUUCAUAUGCGAACGCGAAGGCCAAAAGUGGCCUGCAAUAGCUACUGCAUUUCUACAACACUCCAAGUCCAAGAUUCAUCCAUUUAGCCAUUCGAAAUCACCCCGAGGUCCCCGGGUGCUCAAACAAAAGUAGGGACAUGACAAAUUACCUUAUUCAAACUUGCUCGAACCAUCAAAACGCUAUCGUUAACAUCAAAAUCCCCUUAAUUUCAUCAAAUCAAAUUCUAAAUUUCUUAAAAACUUCCGAAUUGAACAUUCAAUCAAAACCAGACCUAAACACUUCCGAAAGACCAGAUACUUUGCACACAUAUUUAAUAUCACCUAUCGGAUCUACUGAAACUCUCGGAAUUUCAUUCCGACCCUCGUAUCAAAAUCUCACCCUUCAAUCUGAAUUCGCCAAAAUUCAAACUUUGCCAAUUCAAGCCUAAUUCUAUAUCGGACCUUCAAAUCCAAUUCCGAUCGCACUCCUAAGUCACGAAUCACUCCCCGAAGCUAACCAAAUCACCGAAAAUCACAUUCUAGUCCUAUAACUCAUUAGUCAACGUCCGGUUGACUUUUCCAACUUAAGCCUUCCUUAAAAAGACUAAGUGCCUCAUUCAUUAUCAAAACCAGUCCAAAUCAACUCUAACACACCAUAUACCGAUGUCAAUAUAUGAAGAAGCUUAAUAUGGGGGAAUUAGAGCAGUAACACCUGAGACGACAGGUUGGGUCGUCACAUCCUCCCCAACUUAAAAAACGCUCGUCUUCGAGCGUACCCAGAGUUCCACUAGAAGCCAACCAAUAUCUGAAUGACCUUACCAAGCAUAUACCCAGGGUGAUCUCACAUCACCCUAACUGACAUAGGCACCGAUAAUACAACACAGCUGAAAUAUCACAGUACAUCCAGACCAUAAACCGUAGAACCACAUUGUACUUUCGAGAUCAUUCCCAGAAUAAACUCGAACAAGCGGUAAUAACCCACGCCUGCAACCUCAGGUGAAACCAUACAUCAAACCACAAUCCAACACUCGAAACGAUAGUCUCCAUUCACAGCAGUUGUCCAAAAUACUCAAAUACCGAUAGGAACCUCUUAUCAGCUAAUGUCUUAUCCCAACUCGUUCAUAUACUGCCAACGAUAAAUAAAACACGCGAUAACCCGUAGCCAUUCCUCAGAUCAUCCAUACAUGAAGCCACUUUCUUUUUGACCAGUACCACAACAGAAUUUCAGGCCAAACCUCAAUAUUAUCCUUCUAACCAGCUAAAAUCAAAUAUGUUCGUAUUCAUUAAUGACUCCAAUGAUCCCCUCGAAUACAAUAAUCACUCUGGUUACAUGACACCUCAACACAUGCCUAAGACAUAACUUGCAUCAUACACGCACUAAUAAGAAAGGGUCUGAACAUACUCAAAUCAUGGAAAAUGAUUCAAACGAAAGAGUUGUACCUCAAGCUCAUCGGUACCAUCACAACACAAGGCGGAGACCCCGUCUCACAUCAUAGGAAUAGAAUACCUGAAUCCCCCUUGAAAAGACAUAACUUCACUUGGCCUCGCCACAACACGCGAUCCUAUCCAAACACUAUUACACAUGAAGCACCUCAAGUCACCAUGCUCAAAGUAGACAUCCACGUACAGAUUGAUGCCUGAAACCAAGCAAUCCAUCACAUCCACGGUGAAGAAAAUAAUAUACAACAUUCAAUCUUGAAAGGACACAACCGAUGCGCUAUUUGCCGCAACUCCCAAUAUGGACUUUCCUCAGAAACCAGGAAGCAAGGCAUAGAAAGUAACAUAUGGAAAAACUAUUCUCAACAUCAAACUGCUGCGGCGUGCAACCCGAUCCAGAUAACAUACCCGUGGCGGCAUGCCACCCAAUCCAAACAUAUCCAUGGCGGCGUUCCAUCCAAUCCAUACAUAUAUCUCACAUAAGGAGAUGCACAUCGAGCCAAAUUUGCUCAUUACAACAAUAUACCGAGUAUCUGUCAUAAGUAUACUGAGUGCAUACAAUAUCUACAUGUAGCGUUAUAAUCUACCAAACUCAGGCACAACUGAGGUUUCCCCCUCAACUUCCACUAUGAAUCCUGAUAGCACCGCCCACCAUAUGUGCCCAUAACCCGUAAAUCAUAACGUCUCGCAACGCAGAAAACAACUCAUAGAUCUCUCCAGAUCGAUGAAAAGCUCAACAACGCUCGAGUCAACCUAUCCCUCGACAACACACUUCGGAGUCAACCGAGUUAACUCAAGCUGGAACACGCAUCUGAAAAGUCCCUUAACGCCAGAACUAGCUCAAUAAUAGCAACCUCUGCGCUAACAUCCAUCAUUAAGGUUCAAUAGGAAAAGCAAUCCCUCCCAGCCGUCCGCUGGGUCUUUGAAAUAUAGCCCACUCCACAAGAACUUAACCCAAUACACCUCGCCACUCAAACUGUGGCAUUUCCGACAUAGCCCAUAAUGCAAUAGUCCAGAAUUAAUCUAUCACUGAGAUAACCAGUCUGGACUCCAACAUCACAUCCAAUAAUCUAGCAAGCCAGCAACGAAAGAUUCACUCGAGCCUCAAAAUCUCAAUAGUCGCCAAGUGCCGAUACAUAUGAUCUACCAUCACAGUAGCCGAAUAUGAGGACUUCCGCUUCCAAUUCCACAUAGCACACAAUUACCAUACCUGAUCCUAAUUUUUCCGUCUGAACAUAUGUCACAGCUCAAUAUCCAAUAAUUCCACGACACAUACUCAAAAUUUCCUUGUGUCAUCAAGAAACCCAAAUAUCACCACUCGAACUAACAAGAAAGUACCGCAAUACUACCGAAGUAUCAUCAGUCUAAUCACAUUACCCUUCUCAACCAAGACAUAUACUCUCGUCAAAUCACUUCCAAUUAGUAGUACCAUUUCCUUGAUUACCUGAGGCUACCCAUUGCCUAAGAAUUUUAUGAACUUCUUUGCAGAACUGAGCUAUAACUCAUCUAGCCAAGACCUUCCGUCAAUCCCAUCUAGAAGAAGAAUCAUUACACAUUCCAUGCUUUGUAUGCCUCAAGAGAAUAUAUAUAUAUAUAUAUGCAUCUCCGAACCACGGUAAAGCUUAACAAGAACUCUUUCUCAGUUCCAUUUACACAGGCUAAACUACCAUGACUGAAUCCUUCUACCCAAACCAAGCUAAGCAAGCUGCCAAAACUCAUGAGCAUUGCUGCAAAAUGCCUGUAAGGCUCAUUACCUCGAACACAUACGAAUAAUUAAUCAUGCCCUUACCAUACAGACUCAGUUUACUAUCAAGCUAUUCCAUCUAUUAAAUUUUUUUCCUCCUGAUUCAUGAUCAACUCGAUAUUCCCUCUUGCUGUAGCACCACAAUACCUCAAUCCAGGCUUACCACACGAGACUCGAACAUAAGACCACACUAUUUAAGACCCAUAUGCCACUGAAUACUCUCUCAAAAUGUUCCCAGAAACACUACAUUCCAGAAUACUUUACUUUGAAGAACUUUCUACGAAUCUGAAUUUUUUACCAUGACUUCCCGAUGCCGAUACAUAGGAUCCCAUAAUCAACAUAAAAACACCACAAAUCUUGAACUUUUCCAAUGACACUCAGUCUCUACCCACAUACACAACCUUAAGACACUGAAUUGUUACAUGUGGAACCUUGAACACAAUAAAACCAUUCUCGAGAGUCCUUUACUUCAUAUUCGAUGUGCAAUUUACCCGAUUUAGCAAACAGAACCACUCGUGCCUUAAUAGCACUCUGACACCACAUGAUAUGAUCUCAUUCAAAUAUCAACAAACAUUUUUCUCCUCAAUACACUGAGCAUUCUUUAUCCAUAACAGCUCAAGACAUCCUAUUGUUUCCACAUAUCUACGAAGUACCAUAUAACCUUUGUCAAAAUUUUAUCUUCACUCGUGCCAUCCUCGGCUUAAUUUCUGCAACCAGAACUGAUCUGCCAGCAUAUCUCUAAACGGAACCAACAUAGCACAUGACCGUGCAAUCAGCUAAUCAACAUCAACCUCCCCAACUUGGCUCGAAGCCAUAGGCCAAAAUAUUUCAAUAGCUCAUAAGACUUUUACUCCAUUGAUGCCACAAUAACAUAGUGAGAAUAAGCUCCAGUAGUUUAUAAGUUGUGAAACACAAAUCUUCUAACAUGUACACAAGGAGCAUACCACGCUAGAAUACUCCGCAGGAGAUUUAGCCCACCUGUUUCGCCUCAAUAUAACAUUUCCAUAUACCUUCCACCGUCAUACAUCUUACAUAGUCAACUAGUCUUUUUGAGUCUGAACUCAAACCGCAACAUGAUAUUUACUUCACUCCCAACUAGGAGACUUGAAAAGAUUCUUCAUGCACCCAUAACUCGGGGCAACACAUCCAAUUACAAUGGACAUCAAACACUUAAUGGUUCACCUAUCACCCAGCAGACCUUCUUCGACACUUCCAAGUCAUAUAGGAACAUCUCGCAUUACCAACACACUCACCACAUAGCUAUCCAGCCGCCAUUCCCAUAAUUAGGGACAAUACUGGACACAUAAUUUCAUAACACUAGAUCUCGCCGUCAGCACCUUGGUAUCCAAGCCAUAAGCAAAGAUCCAGCCUCAAGUCCUCCAGACUGGUCCGACAACAACUCAUAGAAAUCACAUCUUGCCCCUCGAUCGGGGAAUCACAAGGUGUCAAGGCACAUCUGAUAAUAAGCGCUCACGUGCACAUACAAUCGCGUGGACGGAAUUUCAAGAGUUUUAUUUUCAAGCUAAAUCAAGGACGCACGAUAAGAAUUCAAGAAUGUGAAGUUUUUCCUAAAAGUUCUGCAGCCUCUCAAGGAUAAAUACAGAUGUCGCUGUACAGAUCCACGAGACUCUACUAAACCUGCUCAUGACUUGUGAGACCUAUUAACCUAGGCUCUGAUACCAACUUGUCCCGACCCAAACGUCGCUUCGGUCAUGAUGUCGCCUCUCGUGAAGACAAGGCCAGCCAAUCCAUUUAAAAAGCCUUUUUCAACAAUAAAUUAGCAUGACUAAGCAGUUUCAAGAAAAUUAGGUAACAUGAUUUCACAAAAUACAACCCAACACAGCCUGACAUCGGGGUGUCACCAGUCAUAAGCGACUACAGAGUACACUAAAGUACUGCAAGUCCGGGGAUAGGAACAAAGUCUGAAAAUAUUAUGAACAAUAUAAAAUAAGAUCCGGUGCUGCGGACGCUAGCGGUCACCUAGCCCAGCUACGAUAACAAAUCUUCAAUCCGCUAAUAACCCGCUACCGGGCGAAAAUACUUGCAACUGCACGCGAGGUGCAGGGAGUAAUGUGAGCACUCCAACUCAGUAAGUAUCAAAUGCGAAUACGGUCGAGACCCUCGCGUUCGCAAUGACCAGAAAGGCAGUGACCAACUUUAACUCUUCCCAAAUGCGCCCCCCCACACGCGAACACGAACCUUCAGGAUCCCCCACUACGCGAACGCGUCUCCCUCCACGCGAACGCGAUGCACCAGACCAAAGGCCACCCAAACAGCCCCUACGCGAACGCGACCUUAACAUGCGAACGCAAAGGUUCAAAGACCUCCUCAUACGCUAAUAUGAAACCCCUUCACGAACGCGAAGGUUAAAAGUGGCCUGCAACAACUACUACAUUUCUGCAUCACUCCAAGUCCAAGAUUCUUCCAUUUAGCCAUCCAAAAUAACCCCGAGGCCCCUGGGAGCUCAACCAAAUGCACAGAAAUGAGAUAUUACCUUAUUAAAACUUGCUUGAAAAAUCAAAACGCUAUCGUUCACAUCAAAAUUCCAUAAUUUCAUCAAAUCAAAGUCUAAAUUUCUUAAAAACUUCCGAAUUGCACAUUCGAUCAAAACUUGACUUAAACACCUCCGAAUGACCUGAAAAUUUGCACACAUAUCCAAAGUCACCUAACAGAGCUAGAAAUACUCUUGGAAUUCCAUUGUGGCCCUCGGAUCAAAAUCUCUCCCUUCAACCGAAAUUCGCCAAAAUUCAAACUUCGCCAAUUCAAGCCUAAUUCUACAUCGGACCUCCAAAUCCAAUUCCGAUCGCACUUCUAAGUCACAAAUCAUUCCCCGAAGCUCACCAAAUCACCAGAAAUCACAUUCGAGCCCUAUAACUCAUUAGUCAAUGUUCGGUUGACUUUUCCAACUUAAGCCUUCCUUAAAGAGACUAAGUCUCAUUUCUUAUCAAAACCAGUCCAAAUCAACUCUAACACACCACAUACCGAUAUUAACAUAUGAAGAUGCUUAACAUGGGGGAAAUGGAUAAGUAAAACCUAAGACGACGGGUCGGGUCGUCACACAUCCCCAAUCUUAACAUGCUUGACCAGCUGCACUAACUGUGAAAAUUGAUCUUUGGAGAGGUGCUUGAGUCAAAGACUCACUACAGUUGUUGUUUUAUUCUGUUGCCUCAGCUGAAAAUGCCCCAUUUCUCCUAACUUGAAACUGGCUUCAUUUGGUAUUAGUAAACUCAAUGUCUUCAGGGAACCUUAUGAUUCUACAAAAUUCAUUGACUAUAUGACCUAUCUUCUUGCAAUAGGUACAAGAUGCAUUAGGAUUGAAUUUGGUCUUCUUCCUUUGAAGGUUGGGUUCUUCUGUGUUAGAUUUAUAGGUCAUUGCAUAUAAGUCUUAUUGAAUUAUCCAAAGUUCCUUUGUGUUUGUUUUUUAUUUUUCUGUGAGUAGUUACUUUGAGCUACAAAAUUGCUUUGAUUUCCCAUCAUGAAGGAUGGAGAAUCAACAGAGAUUAGAGUGUUUGCAUAGAUUUUUCUCUGAUUUUCAUCUUGUUGAACCAAUAAAUAAGCAUGGCUGAUGUCGAGUAGAUAUCUCAUCAUUAAUAUAUUUCCCCUAGCUUGCCCAUAUCAAUCCUUCAAUUCCAUGAGGAAUUAAAUGAGUCUUUCAUCCUUCAAGGCCUUCUCUAGCUUUUGCUUCCCAUCACAGACACAAGUACAUAGGCACUUGACAUCACAGUUCAAAGAAUCCAGCUCAUCCCAUAAUCGUUUGAGCUUUGUAAAGUACCCUGGUAUGUCAGUUGUUCCUUGAACUUACCCUGAUAAUUCUUAGCGCAUGUGAUCAAGUUUUUCGCCACUUGACUGCCCAAACCUAUGCUCAAGUGUAUUUCACAGAUCUUUGGCAGACUUUGAGCAGAUAACACUAUCUCCAAUAUCUUUGGAAAGUGAGUUUAGAAGCCAAGAGGUCACAAUGUCAUUGCAUCUACUCCAAGGUUGAAAAUUCUUGGAGGUAGCAGCUGGAGCUGGGCAGGCUCUAUUGCUGAAACCUAGCUUAUUCUUGGCUGAAAAUGCAGUUAACACAUACGUCCUCCAUCCCCGGAAACCUCUCUUACUGAAGAUUGCAUUCACUAGGGUCAUUCUAGGUUGCAUCAGAAGAAUGGAGGAAGUAGGGAUAAUUUGGAUCAAAAGUCACUCCAUUUGUAGAUCCAAUUUGGGUGACAACAAUUUCCGUAUUAUUAGGCAUGGCGAUGAAGGUGAAGAGAAAAGAAAAUAAGAUAGAACAGAGAGAGGAUUGAACCGAGAUUCAAUGCUUUGAUACCAUGUAAGAUUGUAAAAGGAAGAAGACAAUUUUAUCCUUUACAAUGUCUAAAUCUCAGAAGUUAGCUCCUGAGAUAAUAACGAUUGGCCAAGGUUAUGUAAGGAGACAAAUAGACUCCCCCACACCCACCGAUCAUGGGAUUCAACACCCUAAUAUCAUAAUAAAUGGAGAUUUGACCUAACUGUAUCUCAAAAGCAACUACCUAAUGAGGUGGUGAUUGAAGUCAUAUAAAGAGAAAAAUGAGCUCCCACGCGCACCGAUGUGGGACUCAUUUCUGAACUACUAGUGGAAAGAGUCAUUUGAUGAUAAGUUAAAUGGUUGCUAUGGAUUUUUGCUAUGGUCCGAGACACAACAGUUGAGAUAUCUAGUUUAGAGACGGUUACAGUCGUGAAUUAGUUUCUACUUCUACCUCGGUUUCAAUGUGUUUGAAGCUUUUCGGAGUACGAUGGUCAAACAGAUUAAUUUUCGGUAUGAAUUUGAAUAUAAAUGCUUUAAGUUUUUUGAAAGGAAAAGAAAAAUAUAUAUUUAAAUACUACAUAAAAGUCUAUAAAUCGCAAUAGUUAACAAUUCAAAAAUUUUUAAAACUACUUGCAAAAAAUGUGACAAAAAAUAACAAUGUGACUCCCGAAAUAGUAAAAUAUUCAUUUUUUUAAACGGAAGGAGUAUAUAUGUUUUUGGAGGACUUAUCGGGGUAAUCUUCAGAGGAAGAGAUAAAGUUUUGCAUUAACUUACUACAAAAAAAUAAAAUAAUUACAACAGCAUUUGAAUCUAAAGUUUUGGCUCAUACCUUAUAUAUGUUAAAAAGCUCACAAAGUAUAAACGGUUAAGGGUCAGAUUUGCCCUUGUACUAUUCAAAAUAAGCUACAUUUAUCCUUCGUUUGAAUUCUUUAACAAAUAUACCAAAACUUCACACAAAUCAGAACCUUUCAUACAUUAUCCCUCAAAAGUGAUGCCGCACAUCAAUGCGCUUUUUCCUCUUCUGUUAUACCGGGUUCAAGCUAUAAAUACACCAAUAUUUUCAAGAUGUUGCUUGAUCUGUAGUAGGGGAGCACAACAAGAGUAGCAACGACGUAUUCAACCUCAUUAGUAGAAAGAGCCACACAGUUUAUUUCUUUCUACCCCAUGAGAUAAAGUAUGACCCCAGAAAAUGUGUCGUUCCAGAAGUGCUUUUUCUAUCCAAUAGAUAUUCAACAUAAUCAGCAUCAACAUAUCCAACCAAAUUAAAAUAAUCUCCUGAACAAUAGACGAGGACUAGGUCCUGCGUUCCAUUAGGAUACCUCAAACUUCCCUUGGCACCUGUUGAUACCUAAGUUUUCUCUAUAUCUAUUUUAUAUGUAGAGUACCUUCAAAAUAGCAUAUGUACGAAUAUAUAAGUAUCUCCAAGUGUUUCCUUAUUUUUUCUUAAUUUUAAAAGAUUUUUAAAUCAAUUUACCCCCAUAUUUUGUUCUUAAAAAAUUCAAUAACUAUUUCUAAAAUUAUUAGCUUGGUAAUUCAUUGAUUGAAAUUUUAUAUUUAUGCUAAAAUAUAGCUAAGAUAAUUUUUGCAUAUUUUUACAAAUUUAUUUAGUAUUUUAAAAGGUAAAUUGCAUAUAAUUACAAUAUUAGCCCCUUUUAAGAAUUAAUUGCGUUUAUGUUUACGAAAGUUAAGUCUAGCAUCUUAAAUUGAUACUUAUGUGUUAUAAAUUAUUUCCGUGCUUUUAAUUUAUUUCCAAAAUUUUAUUUACUAUUUUAUAUAAAAUAAAUGGGGGACAUGGCUGUUUAAACUUUAGCCAGAUUUCAUUUCGAUUGUAGUCCAAUUCUACUCCAAUUUGAAUCCCAAUUACCGCGGGCCGAUUUCUAUUUAACCCCGACCUUCAAGGUUCUACAGCAAUCAAGAGAGAGCAAAGAUGAAUUGAAUGGUGACUUUAGGGAAGAAAUUGAUGAAACAUAUUCACGAUCACAGACUUGUUUGAAUUUGAAUUUGAAUUUGAAUUCUGCAUAUGGGGUUGUGCAGUUAAGCAAAUGUUAUUGUUGCCUUUGACCAAAAGUUGUUUGCUGAAAUGUCUUGCUUGGCAUUUUAAUCCUCUGUAGGUUAUGUUCUGUCGGGCGGGUUACAAAUUUGGG
RNAcentral lists this long non-coding RNA (15338 nucleotides) under Nicotiana benthamiana. RNAcentral's name for it is "long non-coding RNA (NBEN_LNC031015)". The record is from RNAcentral. Lineage: Eukaryota; Viridiplantae; Streptophyta; Magnoliopsida; Solanales; Solanaceae.